Molecule: long non-coding RNA, 708 nt
Filed under: Betta splendens (Siamese fighting fish)
Lineage: Eukaryota; Metazoa; Chordata; Actinopteri; Anabantiformes; Osphronemidae
Description: lncRNA (ENSBSLG00000018086.1)
Source: RNAcentral
UCCUCAGUGUUGCUGUGACCUCCGCCUUGCAGCUCGUAGACGUCUCUCUCUUUCGUGGAUCAACUCCGGUCUUUUCCUUUCACAGCGGCGUUGGUUAACUUGGUGCCACCUUUGUGUUCCUCUCAGAGGUCUCGUGUGGUUUUAGAGGGAUAACGGAGGAGGUGAAUUAAGGCCCACAAUCCUCCAUCCCCCACGUUGCAUUAAGGAGGUUCCACCGGCUCAGCUUCAGAACCUCCAGGUCCCUGGGAACGGCUUUAGGAGACCCCGCGGCCCCUGCAGAGGGUGAAUCACUGCACUGAGCCGGCCCCGGGCCACUAAAAACACAGGGACUCACACACAGAGACACGCACGGACCCCCGUCAUCUGAAAUCUGAUGAGCCACCUCCAAAUCACAUCAGGCAAAUCGAGGCUGAGGAACCAGUGGCCCGUAAUGUAACCAGCCAAGUGGGAAAUGACACAGUGAUGCACAGCUGGACCUCCGCUCUCCCGUUUGCCAUCGCGUCUGAUCAGCGCGGCCACGGGGACUCGCGGGGUCGGAGCAUGUAAGAGGUGGAGGAGGUUCCAGGGGUUACCUGGUUAAUCCUGUUUUUGGUGGUGAGAUCAAAGCAGCUACCUGGGCUUCUGUUCCGUAACGCUACAGACAGCGGAGGGUCAAGUCAACGGUUCAAACUAUCCAGCAGCGGAACCUGUGAAUACCUUUAUUGUCCC